This is a non-coding RNA of Cynoglossus semilaevis (tongue sole), 74 nucleotides long. Lineage: Eukaryota; Metazoa; Chordata; Actinopteri; Pleuronectiformes; Cynoglossidae. The record is from the annotation of a RefSeq genome assembly.
GGUUCCAUAGUGUAGCGGUUAGCAUGCCUGCCUUAAAAGCAAGACAGUCCUGGGUUCGACUCCCAGGGGAACUA